AUGCUUAUCAAUUGGUCCAUUUGGAACGAGCGAAAUGCCCAGAUUUUCCGGAAGAAAUCAAUGCCACCUCCAAUCAUCGUUGAAAACAUCAAGAGUGAUGCUGAUCUUUGGAAAAUCACGGGAGCUAAACAUUUGAGUGAUAUCUUACCGGGGGACUAG
This 159-nucleotide ribosomal RNA is filed under the name Triticum aestivum (bread wheat). Its description in RNAcentral is "partial small subunit ribosomal RNA". Lineage: Eukaryota; Viridiplantae; Streptophyta; Magnoliopsida; Poales; Poaceae. The record is from RNAcentral.